CUAAGUAGCAUGAAGCUCAAUCCAAGCAAGUUUGCCUUCAAAGUGAUCACCUCGAGGAAGUCCUCAGCUUCAUGAUGAUGCAAUGCGGGACUGAAUCCUAUUAGCCUCAGAAUUAAUUUUGAUGAUGCCAAAAUACUUGGGUACAAAUGAUAUAAUGUUGGAUUGAGAGAAUGGGUAUAAGAUUCCUUAUGAUGCUCAAAGGCCAUACAGAAAUUCAAGAGCAAAUCAUCUCCAAAAAAACUAUAGUUCAGAUUUCUCAAAGAUUUUAACA
This 271-nucleotide long non-coding RNA is filed under the name Elaeis guineensis (African oil palm). RNAcentral's name for it is "long non-coding RNA (EGUI_LNC042582)". Lineage: Eukaryota; Viridiplantae; Streptophyta; Magnoliopsida; Arecales; Arecaceae. The record is from RNAcentral.